GACGAACGCUGGCGGCGUGCUUAACACAUGCAAGUCGAACGGAAAGGCCCUGCUUUUGUGGGGUGCUCGAGUGGCGAACGGGUGAGUAACACGUGAGUAACCUGCCCUUGACUUUGGGAUAACUUCAGGAAACUGGGGCUAAUACCGGAUAGGAGCUCCUGCUGCAUGGUGGGGGUUGGAAAGUUUCGGCGGUUGGGGAUGGACUCGCGGCUUAUCAGCUUGUUGGUGGGGUAGUGGCUUACCAAGGCUUUGACGGGUAGCCGGCCUGAGAGGGUGACCGGCCACAUUGGGACUGAGAUACGGCCCAGACUCCCACGGGAGGCAGCAGUGGGGAAUAUUGCACAAUGGGCGGAAGCCUGAUGCAGCAACGCCGCGUGCGGGAGGACGGCCUUCGGGUUGUAAACCGCUUUCGCCUGUGACGAAGCGUGAGUGACGGUAAUGGGUAAGAAGCACCGGCUAACUACGUG
RNAcentral lists this ribosomal RNA (467 nucleotides) under uncultured bacterium. RNAcentral's name for it is "partial 16S ribosomal RNA". It matches the Rfam family "Bacterial small subunit ribosomal RNA", at positions 28 to 507 of the family's 1533-position model. The record is from RNAcentral.